Long non-coding RNA from Pipra filicauda (Wire-tailed manakin), 1880 nucleotides. RefSeq lists it as uncharacterized. The transcript has 4 exons. Lineage: Eukaryota; Metazoa; Chordata; Aves; Passeriformes; Pipridae. The record is from RefSeq and is a predicted model, not a curated record.
AAAGGGGAUUUAAGGACGUGAAGGAGCAGAAACGACAACACAUCAUGGAAGAUUCAAGAACUGUAGAUGCCUGAAGAAAAUGAUGAUCUGAAACACAGAGACACAGAAAAGAAAAGUAGCCACUCAUGCGAUGAAGACAAGGAUGACGGAUACACUGCAGACGUCGAAAGCCAGCAGCAGAAUUCUCCACCAGCCAGUCUACAAGGCAGAGGUCUGCAGAAGAUAUGGUUACUAAGUGUUCUGAAUGCUUCCAGAGUGCAUUGCUGCAGGCAACAAAAGUGAGCAAUGGUUGAUUUCGGAAGCUUUCUAAGCAUGAUCACAAAGGGGCUGAAAGCCACCUGACAGCUCUUCAAUCACACGUUACAGAAUCAAGACUGCAGGGCGAAGAGGAUUUCUGCUGGGACUUCAGCACUCCAUUUAGACAAAUGGGCUUUACUGUUAAUUGCAUGACUGCAGUUUCUCAUUCAACCUCUGCCUGAGCUCAUGCACCAAAUGGCCGAUAUUUAAUUAGCUGGUGAUAACUUGCCUAGAUUCAAGCAAAAUAUCUGUGACAGGUCAUCGCAUAAUAAUCCAGAUUUGUGCUUUAUUAAUAUCUGCACGAAGUUGCUUUAAAGAGCCAUUGAUAUUCCAGAAACAGUCUGAGAUUUUCACAUUCUGACAUUUUCAUGCCUUCAUGCCUGUAACUAAGAUCUUAAACAGAUGUAUGCCAGUAACCAAGAAUCCACCAUUAUCAGCAUCGAAAUAAAAGCAGACUGGGCAUAAUUAAUAUAGUGGCUCACUGGGCAUAUAGCAAACAUGGAUUCUUUUUCCUGCAUUCCACACCAGCCAGUCACCAGGCAGCUUCACUAAAAAGCCACAUAACCACUCAGUCUGUUGAUAAAUCUGACUUAAGGGGAAGCAGCUCAUAGAAACCACAGUCCAGCACCACACUUCUGAAGCCACAUAGCUGGCAACCCAAAACUCGCUUAAGGUGAGAAAGCACAGGCAUGUAUGCCUGCAAAAUACUAUGUAGAUGUGUUCAUCUUUAAACAGUAUUUAAAGCCACAGAAUCAGAAGAAUGAUCCUAGUAUGACUCAUGAAAAACAUGCAAAAUUCAUUACCCAAACCAAACACGACAGUGGAAAAGGCAGCAGGAAAGCCAGGGAUCAUUCAGAGUCAUCUGCUACUUUAAAGCUGUGACCUAUAUCUGGCAGGCAAAGACAAGACACUAGAAGACAGAGCUUUACAGCAACAGGAGAUUAUUAGGCAUAGUGGAGAAACAAUUGCUUGUUGCAAUUACAACUUCAAAGCAGAAUUUAACUCUCCCAUCUGCACCAUGGAUCUCUUUUGUAUGUUUGAGCUUGUUCCACUAUGAAUCUCCCAAUGCUGUCACAUGCCAUCUAUCCAAGAGUACUAUGUGCUGCUCACAUGGGAUCUACAGAUGGGUCAAAGAGGAAAAUUUUGCCUGAUGAAUUUUGCAUGAAAAAGCAGGGGAAAAAAAUCUUGCACUUGAAGGAAGCUAAUGCAAAUUUAAUAAUUAAAGGGAUGCCCUCGAUAUCAUUCAGCUAUCCAGUUUUGCUAUAUCCUUCAAUGUUUCCCUUUCAUAACAUUUACGAGGUUCAUACAUAAGGUACCUUGUUAGGAUGCUAGAAAAGAUGUUGCCGUGUUGUCUGACAUGGGCCUUGUCCUGGGAGCCAGAAUUUUCUUUUCUCCAAAUAAAUAUACUAAAGUAGUCGCACCAAAGAUUAGAAAGCCUGCUCAUGAAAUUCUUGUAAAAAUGUAUUUGUCUUAUGACUAUAACAAUCUUUUAAAUGGGUAACUGUAAAACAAGCAAUGUCCCCUCAUCUUCUCGGGGCAGAUUUACUUACUGAAUAACAUGUGAAUUCAAUACACAGGGGAAA